This 466-nucleotide ribosomal RNA is filed under the name Penaeus penicillatus. RNAcentral's name for it is "partial 16S ribosomal RNA". It matches the Rfam family "Bacterial large subunit ribosomal RNA", at positions 1857 to 2570 of the family's 2925-position model. Lineage: Eukaryota; Metazoa; Arthropoda; Malacostraca; Decapoda; Penaeidae. The record is from RNAcentral.
GCCUGNCCACUGAUUUAGUUUAAAGGGCCGCGGUAUAUUGACCGUGCGAAGGUAGCAUAAUCAUUAGUCUUUUAAUUGAAGGCUUGUAUGAAUGGUUGGACAAAAAGUAAGCUGUCUCAAUUAUAAUGAUUGAACUUAACUUUUAAGUGAAAAGGCUUAAAUAAAUUAAGGGGACGAUAAGACCCUAUAAAGCUUGACAAUAAUUUAAUUAUACUAUCAAUUGUUAGUAUAACUUGGUUUUAAUUAAGAUUUGUUGCGUUGGGGCGACGAGAAUAUAAUAGGUAACUGUUCUUAAAUAUUUAAUAACAAAUAUAAUUGAAAAUUAGUGUGAUCCUCUAUUAGCGAUUAAAAGAUUAAGUUACUUUAGGGAUAACAGCGUAAUCUUCUUUGAGAGUCCCUAUCGACAAGAAGGUUUGCGACCUCGAUGUUGAAUUAAGGUAUCCUUAUGAUGCAGCAGUUAUAAAGG